CUCCGGUUGAUCCCGCCGGACCUGACUGCUAUCGGAUUGGUACUAAGCCAUGCGAGUCGUUGUAGCAAUACAAGGCGGACGGCUCAGUAACACGUAGUCAACCUAACCUAUGGACGUGGAUAACCUCGGGAAACUGAGAAUAAACCGCGAUAGAUCAUUAUGCCUGGAAUGGCUUAUGGUUCAAACAAUUUAUUGCCGUAGGGUGGGACUGCGGCCUAUCAGCUUGUUGGUGAGGUAAUGGCCCACCAAGGCUAUAACAGGUACGGGCUCUGAGAGGAGAAGCCCGGAGAUGGGUACUGAGACACGGACCCAGGCCCUAUGGGGCGCAGCAGGCGAGAAACCUUAGCAAUGUGCGAAAGCACGACUAGGUUAAUCCGAGUGAUUUCUGUUGAAGAAAUCUUUUGUCAGUCGUAAAACCACAGACGAAUAAGGGGUGGGCAAGUCUGGUGUCAGCCGCCGCGGUAAUACCAGCACCUCGAGUGGUCAGGAGGUUUAUUGGGCCUAAAGCAUCCGUAGCCGGCUACGCAAGUCUCCGGUUAAAUCCAGCUGCUCAACAGAUGGGCUGCCGGAGAUACUACAUAGCUAGGGAGCGGGAGAGGUAGACGGUAUUCUGUGGGUAGGGGUAAAAUCCACUGAUCCAUAGAGGACCACCAGUGGCGAAGGCGGUCUACCAGAACGCGUUCGACGGUGAGGGAUGAAAGCUGGGGGAGCAAACCGGAUUAGAUACCCGGGUAGUCCCAGCUGUAAACGAUGCAAACUCGGUGAUGCAUUGGCUUAUGGCCAAUGCAGUGCCGCAGGGAAGCCGUUAAGUUUGCCGCCUGGGAAGUACGGACGCAAGUCUGAAACUUAAAGGAAUUGGCGGGGGAGCA
This 869-nucleotide ribosomal RNA is filed under the name uncultured archaeon. RNAcentral describes it as "bacterial SSU rRNA". It matches the Rfam family "Archaeal small subunit ribosomal RNA", at positions 1 to 878 of the family's 1478-position model. The record is from RNAcentral.